Molecule: ribosomal RNA, 345 nt
Filed under: uncultured Desulfobulbus sp.
Lineage: Bacteria; Pseudomonadati; Thermodesulfobacteriota; Desulfobulbia; Desulfobulbales; Desulfobulbaceae
Description: bacterial SSU rRNA
Rfam family: Bacterial small subunit ribosomal RNA
Source: RNAcentral
GGUGCUGCAUGGCUGUCGUCAGCUCGUGUCGUGAGUAUGUGGGUUAAGUCCCGCAACGAGCGCAACCCUUGCCUUUAGUUGCCAGCAGUUCGGCUGGGCACUCUAAAGGGACUGCCGGUGUUAAACCGGAGGAAGGUGGGGAUGACGUCAAGUCCUCAUGGCCUUUAUGACCAGGGCUACACACGUACUACAAUGGCCGAUACAAAGGGCAGCGACACUGCGAGGUGAAGCCAAUCCCGUAAAAUCGGUCUCAGUCCGGAUUGGAGUCUGCAACUCGACUCCAUGAAGUUGGAAUCGCUAGUAAUCGUGGAUCAGCAUGCCACGGUGAAUACGUUCCCGGGCCUU